Molecule: ribosomal RNA, 494 nt
Filed under: uncultured bacterium
Lineage: Bacteria
Description: partial 16S ribosomal RNA
Rfam family: Bacterial small subunit ribosomal RNA
Source: RNAcentral
GACGAACGCUGGCGGCGUGCUUAACACAUGCAAGUCGAACGGUGAAGCGCCUUCCUUUUUGGUGGGUGUGGAGGAGUGGCGAACGGGUGAGUAACGCGUGCGUAACCUGCCCCCUUCUUCUAGAUAACCGCAUGGAAGUGUGGAUAAUACGGGAUCUUCUGGUUCUUUCGCAUGAUUGGUCUGGUACGGCUAUUGUUUCGGUGCGGGAUGGUCUCCCGGCCUAUCAGCUUGUUGGUGGGGUGAUGGCCUACCAAGGCGGUGACGGGUAGCCGGCCUGGGAGGGUGGACGGCCAGACAGGGACAGAGACACGGCUCAGACUCCGACGGGAGGCAGAAGGGGGGAGUAGUGAACAGUGGGGGGAAGCCUGAUGCAGCGACGCGGCGGGAGGGAUGGAGGCCUGCGCGUUAUGAACCUCUUUCGCUAGUGAAGCAGGCUUGCCUGGUUUGUGGGGGGGUUGACGGUAGCUGGAUAAGAAGCGCCGGCUAACUACGUG